This 69-nucleotide transfer RNA is filed under the name Ictidomys tridecemlineatus (thirteen-lined ground squirrel). RNAcentral describes it as "Spermophilus tridecemlineatus (thirteen-lined ground squirrel) tRNA". It matches the Rfam family "tRNA". From Rfam's summary of the family: Transfer RNA (tRNA) molecules are approximately 80 nucleotides in length. Their secondary structure includes four short double-helical elements and three loops (D, anti-codon, and T loops). Lineage: Eukaryota; Metazoa; Chordata; Mammalia; Rodentia; Sciuridae. The record is from Rfam by way of RNAcentral.
GGGGAUGUAGCUCAGUGGUAGAGUGCUUACCUAGCACAUGUAAGAAACUGGGUUUGACUCACAGCACCA